This 254-nucleotide ribosomal RNA is filed under the name uncultured bacterium. RNAcentral describes it as "partial 16S ribosomal RNA". It matches the Rfam family "Bacterial small subunit ribosomal RNA", at positions 524 to 776 of the family's 1533-position model. The record is from RNAcentral.
UACAGAGGGUGCGAGCGUUAAUCGGAAUUACUGGGCGUAAAGCGUGCGUAGACGGCUAUCUAAGUCGGGUGUGAAAGCCCCGGGCUCAACCUAGGAAUUGCGCUUGAGACUGGAUAGCUUGGAGUGCGGCAGAGGGAGGUGGAAUUCCACGUGUAGCAGUGAAAUGCGUAGAGAUGUGGAGGAACACCGAUGGUGAAGGCAGCCUCCUGGGCCAGCACUGACGCUCAUGCACGAAAGCGUGGGGAGCAAACAGG